Molecule: small RNA, 2661 nt
Filed under: Pongo abelii (Sumatran orangutan)
Lineage: Eukaryota; Metazoa; Chordata; Mammalia; Primates; Hominidae
Description: processed transcript
Source: RNAcentral
AACAGUUGCUAAGUGGAAAAUGGAGGCUGAAUUUUACAUGGUGAUUCUUACCUGCUUGAUCUUCAGGAACUCAGAAGGGUUUCAGAUUGUCCAUGUCCAGAAACAACAGUGUCUUUUCAAAAAUGAGAAAGUGGUCGUGGGCUCAUGCAAUAGGACCAUCCAGAACCAGCAGUGGAUGUGGACUGAGGAUGAAAAGCUCCUUCAUGUUAAAUCUGCACUGUGCUUGGCCAUCUCCAACUCCUCUCGCGGCCCCUCCCGCUCAGCCAUCUUGGAUUGCUGUUCCCAGGCACCCCGAUGGACCUGCUAUGAUCAGGAAGGCUUCCUUGAGGUGGAAAAUGCCUCUCUCUUUCUCCAGAAACAAGGCUCCAGAGUAGUGGUCAAGAAGGCCAGGAAAUACUUCCAUAGCUGGAUGAAAAUAGAUGUCAACAAGGAGGGAAAACUGGUCAAUGAAAGCCUCUGUUUAAAAAAAGCUGGCCUGGGAGCAGAAGUUUCAGUGAGGAGCACUAGAAACAUGGCUCCACCCCAGAUUCCCACUACCUUUAAUGCAGUUCCAGAUAGCCUGGAACGCCUUAUUAGGAAUACCACAGAGGCCUUCAUCAGAAAUGCUGCAGAAAACUACAGCCAAAACAGCAGCGAGAGGCAGCAUCCCAAUCUGCACGUGACUGGAAUUACAGACACAUCAUGGGUUUUGUCGACUACUCAGCCCUUCUCCAGCACCACUGAAGAGACUGGACUGGCGGAGCCAGAGAGAUGUAACUUCACCCUGGCGGAGUCCAAGGCCUCCAGCCAUUCCGUGUCUAUCCAGUGGAGAAUUUUGGGCUCACCCUGUAACUUUAGCCUCAUCUAUAGCAGUGACACUCUGGGGGCCGCGUUGUGCCCUCCCUUUCGGAUAGACAACACCACAUACGGAUGUAACCUUCAAGAUUUACAAGCAGGAACCAUCUAUAACUUCAAGAUUAUUUCUCUGGAUGAAGAGAGAACUGUGGUCUUGCAAACAGAUCCUUUACCUCCUGCUAGGUUUGGAGUCAGUAAAGAGAAGACGACUUCAACCAGCUUGCAUGUUUGGUGGACUCCUUCUUCCGGAAAAGUCACCUCAUAUGAGGUGCAAUUAUUUGAUGAAAAUAACCAAAAGAUACAGAGGGUUCAAAUUCAAGAAAGUACUUCAUGGAAUGAAUACACUUUUUUCAAUCUCACUGCUGGUAGUAAAUACAAUAUUACCAUCACAGCUGUUUCUGGAGGAAAACGUUCUUCUUCAGUUUAUACCAAUGGAUCAACAGUGCCAUCUCCAGUGAAAGAUAUUGGUAUUUCCACAAAAGCCAAUUCUCUCCUGAUUUCCUGGUCCCAUGGUUCUGGGAAUGUGGAACGAUACCGGCUGAUGCUAAUGGAUAAAGGGAUCCUAGUUCAUGGUGGUGUUGUGGACAAACAUGCUACUUCCUAUGCUUUUCAUGGGCUGACCCCUGGCUACCUCUACAACCUCACUGUUGUGACUGAGGCCGCAGGGCUGCAAAACUACAGGUGGAAACUAGUCAGGACAGCCCCCAUGGAAGUCUCAAAUCUGAAGGUGACAAAUGAUGGCAGUUUGACCUCUCUAAAAGUCAAGUGGCAAAGACCUCCUGGAAAUGUGGAUUCUUACAAUAUCACCCUGUCUCACAAAGGGACCAUCAAGGAAUCCAGAGUAUUAGCACCUUGGGUUACUGAAACUCACUUUAAAGAGUUAGUCCCUGGACGACUUUAUCAAGUUACUGUCAGCUGUGUCUCUGGUGAACUGUCUGCUCAGAAGAUGGCAAUGGGCAGAACAUUUCCAGACAAAGUUGCAAACCUGGAGGCAAACAAUAAUGGCAGGAUGAGGUCUCUUGUAGUGAGCUGGUCGCCCCCUGCUGGAGACUGGGAGCAGUAUCGGAUCCUACUCUUCAAUGAUUCUGUGGUGCUGCUCAACAUCACUGUGGGAAAGGAAGAAACACAGUAUGUCAUGGAUGACAUGGGGUUCGUACCGGGAAGACAGUAUGAGGUGGAAGUCAUUGUUGAGAGUGGAAAUUUGAAGAAUUCUGAGCGUUGCCAAGGCAGGACAGUCCCCCUGGCUGUCCUCCAGCUUCGUGUCAAACAUGCCAAUGAAACCUCACUGAGCAUCAUGUGGCAGGCCCCUGUAGCAGAAUGGGAGGAAUACAUCAUUUCCCUAGCUGACAGAGACCUCUUACUGAUCCACAAGUCACUCUCCAAAGAUGCUAAAGAAUUCACUUUUACUGACCUGGUGCCUGGACGAAAAUACAUGGCUACAGUCACCAGUAUUAGUGGAGACUUAAAAAAUUCCUCUUCAGUAAAAGGAAGAACAGUGUAAUUGGAAGCAAAGUCAUCAAGAUUUCCCUUUUUAGUUGGAUGCCGUGGCUCACAUCUGUAAUCCCAGCACUUUGGGAGGCCGAGAUGGGCAGAUCUUGAGGCCAGGAAUCCAAGACCAGCCUGGCCAACAUGGCAAGAUACUCUCGCUACUAAAAAUACAAAAAUUAGCUGGGAGUGGUGGCACAUACCUGUAAUCCCAGAUACUCGGGAGGCUGAGGCAUAAGAAUCACUUAAACCCAGGAGGUGGAGGUUGCAUGAGUCGAGAUCCUGCUACUGCACACUAGCCUAGGUGAUAGAGCGAGAACCUGCCUCAAAAAAAAAAAAAAA